Molecule: ribosomal RNA, 333 nt
Filed under: uncultured bacterium
Lineage: Bacteria
Description: bacterial SSU rRNA
Rfam family: Bacterial small subunit ribosomal RNA
Source: RNAcentral
AGAGUUUGAUCAUGGCUCAGGACGAACGCUGGCGGCGCGCCUAACACAUGCAAGUCGAACGGAGCUGAGAGGAGCUUGCUUUUCCUAGCUUAGUGGCGAACGGGUGAGUAACGCGUGAGUAACCUGCCCUGGAGUGGGGGACAACAGUUGGAAACGACUGCUAAUACCGCAUAAGCCCACGAUCCGGCAUCGGAUUGAGGGAAAAGGAUUUAUUCGCUUCAGGAUGGACCCGCGUCUGAUUAGCUAGUUGGUGAGGUAACGGCCCACCAAGGCAACGAUCAGUAGCCGGCCUGAGAGGGUGAACGGCCACAUUGGGACUGAGACACGGCCCAA